RNA transcript from Spinacia oleracea (spinach), 1779 nucleotides. It is a transcript of the gene named probable dolichyl pyrophosphate Glc1Man9GlcNAc2 alpha-1,3-glucosyltransferase, with no coding region annotated. Lineage: Eukaryota; Viridiplantae; Streptophyta; Magnoliopsida; Caryophyllales; Amaranthaceae. The record is from RefSeq and is a predicted model, not a curated record. The transcript is spliced from 8 exons.
AGCAAAUCUUCAAUCUAAGCGCAUCUUUUAGUUUUCUUUUGUACUGAAACCAGAUAGUUCUCCCCCUUUCUUCUCGCUGCUUUGCUGCUCGCCCACACUCACAAUUCUCCCCCGAACUCUAUCCACCGGCGACGUACGGAGACUGACUCUCUCCCUCUUUCUCACUGGUAUUCCGACACCACCGGUCAAUGGACACUCGAUUACCCUCCUUUCUUUGCCUAUUUCAAGCUCUUUCUCUCUUUUAUCACUGCCUAGAUCGACCCCGCCAUUGUUAACCUUUAAGGUCUCAAUUACAAGGCUGAUUCUGUUAUUUACUUUCAAAGAAUCACUGUUAUGGUCUCUGAUGGCUGGGUUCUAUUUUGCGGUUUUGUUGUGCUUUAAGCACUUGUUCGUUGUUGCCGCGCCUGUUUACUUCGUAUAUUUGUUGCGGCAUUAUUGUAGAGGAGGUUUGUUCAAGGGUUUUGGACGGCUUUUGCUGAUGGGGCUGGCGGUGGUGGUGGUUUUCGUUGGGGCUUUCUGGCCGUUUGUGUGUCACGAUCAGUUGCAGAAGAGGUUAAUAUGCGUUGGAAAAAACCCGGUAAGUUCCACUUGCUAGUCACUCCAAGUUGAGCUAUCAAAAUAGUCACAGAGAGGAGAAUCGGUUUGCAGAAUCCCUGCCCUGUUCCAAUGGCAUAGAAGAGAAAGAUGAUGUUGACACCCGUGCUAUCACUAGUAGAUUGAAGGGAGAUGGGAGUCUUAUUGGUGUGCUGAGCACAUAAGAAACAAAAUCAGACAACCAACGACUCUUAGAAAUGGCUUGUUCUAGGACAUUGUUGGGGUUGAUUUGAUAAGCGUUGUUUCUUGCCAAGCUCCUUAUAAAUGGAUCAACAAAACUGAUGAUGAAUGGGAGUUUAAUACAAACGGCAAAACUGGGGAAACUUUUAAGGUGGUAGCUUGGAUUUUGAUAUCAAGCAUAACAUUUUGAGGGGUCUGGCAUCAUAUAGAUGUAAGAUUAUUGUUGUUCCAUCAACAUGGCAAGCACAAGAGGUACUAAAAUUUCAACCAGGUUGCGUUUUCUUCAGCAAUGGUCCGGGAGAUCCAUCAGUUGUACCAUAUGUUGUUGACAUAUUGAAGGAAUUAAUUAGACAGGCCCGAUAUUGGAGAUCCCUCAGCUGUACCAACUGAUGGGUCAAGCAUUGGGUGGUAAAACUUAUAAAAUGAAAUCUGAUCAUCAUGGAGGAAAUCACCCUGUCCGUAAUAUAAAUGUUGAAAUUAGCGCACAGGUACUAUCUUCAUAAGUGAUUUAUUAUGAUAUGUGUUUCAAGCCACACAAUUUAUCAAUUUGAUUCUUGUCGUCGAGAUCCAUUAUGACCCGUGUUGGUCAAGUCACUAUUGAAUAAGCACAUUCCGUAUUUAGUUUUUUUUGUACAUAUCAAAUAAAACUUGCAAUCAUAUUUUACAUUCAAGCAUUUAAUGUUAAUUAACUUCCAAUGAAUUGUGGAAUUGCAGAGUGUUGAUGAAAAUGAAUGUCAAAAAAAGCGCACUUCCUCAAUGGAAAUCUGUUAAAUGCGCCCAACAAGAGGGUGGGGUCGAGUGUGGCUAUUACGUGAUAAAAUUCAUGCAUGACAUAUUAAAAAGUUGCAAGGAAGUUCAAGAUCUGGAAAAGGUUUUCAAAACUCCAAGGGAGGGGCCCUUUACUAAAAAGGAGUUGGAUGAAGUUCGAGAAAAGUGGGCUUCUUACUUCAACGAUUGUGAACUACCCUCAGUGUAAUAAAUAGAGAAGGCUUGUAGUUAUUCGUG